This 606-nucleotide ribosomal RNA is filed under the name Pestalotiopsis uvicola. Its description in RNAcentral is "eukaryotic LSU rRNA". The stretch from base 222 to 375 matches the Rfam family "5.8S ribosomal RNA". Lineage: Eukaryota; Fungi; Ascomycota; Sordariomycetes; Amphisphaeriales; Sporocadaceae. The record is from RNAcentral.
CGUAUGCUGACUGCGGAGGGACAUUAUAGAGUUUUCUAAACUCCCAACCCAUGUGAACUUACCAUUGUUGCCUCGGCAGAAGCUGCUCGGUGCACCCUACCUUGGAACGGCCUACCCUGUAGCGCCUUACCCUGGAACGGCUUACCCUGUAGCGGCUGCCGGUGGACUACCAAACUCUUGUUAUUUUAUUGUAAUCUGAGCGUCUUAUUUUAAUAAGUCAAAACUUUCAACAACGGAUCUCUUGGUUCUGGCAUCGAUGAAGAACGCAGCGAAAUGCGAUAAGUAAUGUGAAUUGCAGAAUUCAGUGAAUCAUCGAAUCUUUGAACGCACAUUGCGCCCAUUAGUAUUCUAGUGGGCAUGCCUGUUCGAGCGUCAUUUCAACCCUUAAGCCUAGCUUAGUGUUGGGAGCCUACUGCUUUUACUAGCUGUAGCUCCUGAAAUACAACGGCGGAUCUGCGAUAUCCUCUGAGCGUAGUAAUUUUUAUCUCGCUUUUGACUGGAGUUGCAGCGUCUUUAGCCGCUAAAUCCCCCAAUUUUUAAUGGUUGACCUCGGAUCAGGUAGGAAUACCCGCUGAACUUAAGCAUAUCAUAACCAGGGAGGAUCAU